GGAAUAUUCUAGAAGUACAUCCAGGGGUUAUCGUGAAGGAUUACACAGGACAUCACACUCACACACACCUUUACCCAGAUUAUAUGACCGAAACCAGGUAUUUAGUAACAGUUGUUGUGGUGCCCCGUGGACGUCUAUCUGCUGUUCUGUAAUUACCUAGACUGUACCCGGAUGUGAGGUCUUCCAGGACAGAAAUCAUUCUCUGUGUCCUCAACAGGAUGCGCAGGGCCAGGCACACAGUAGUUGCUCUAUAUAAGUGUCUCUACUCAUUGAGUCAAAUGGCACCUGAUUUUACAGAUAGGGAGACACCCAGAGGUGGCAGAUGGUUCCUUCAGGUGGCAUCGAUGGUCAGUGGCAGAGCCAUAAUGGAACCCGGUACUCCUGGCCCUUCAUCUGGGGCAUAUGGCUGGGAAAUGUCCUGGGAAGAAGAACGUGGGGUGGAAUCAAAAUAUACCCAGUCUGCAAGUGGGAGGAACUUGUCUUUUUAGCCAGACCCGGGGUUGCUUGCCAGAAUCACCGUUUCCUUUAUAGCAUUCACACCCCCGAACCCGACUUUGCAUGGUGCCCACCCAGCCGAACCUUCCCUCUGCAGGGUGUGGCUUUGUCUAUCCAUUCUUACUCCCAGGCUUCUGAGUUUUGCAGAAGAGACCACCUGACUGGGCAGGAUGCCGUCAUUGUGGACCUGUGGAUUCUUGUCCCUGAUGAUGUACCUGGCACUCGAGGGACCUUUGUUGACAGAAUAUGUGAGUGAAUGAAUGAAGGAGUUGGUCUAGUCCAACUUCCAUCCCCAAGGUCCUUGAAG
This 802-nucleotide long non-coding RNA is filed under the name Marmota monax (woodchuck). Lineage: Eukaryota; Metazoa; Chordata; Mammalia; Rodentia; Sciuridae. The record is from RNAcentral.